GAAAAGUCUGUCACUUCAAAUCUGCUCCAGAACCAUUAGGACGUUGACUUCCUGUAGCCCAGUUUGUGCGCUCUGAGCCUGCCUUGGAGAUCUGAAUGCUGUUUUCCUGGGGACACAGGACUUGGUGAGGAUCCCCUGCCUAGGAGGACAAGAAGAACAUUAGUCGCAACAGGGCAACUGUCUGCAGGAGAAACAAUCGUAUCAUCAUGAACCAGUGUGAGGUUCUCAGGGACUACUUACUGAGAGGCUGAAGCUGGCUCACUCACGGGGAUAUUAUCCAAGACAUAUGAGCUAGAGACAGAGAUGUUCAGGCCAUGUUUUAUUGAAUUUGUACUUGCUAAGUCCUUGUCUUGGGGUAAAAAACAAAACAAAACAAAAAGAACCCUGGCUCCCAGUCUUGGUCUCCUGGGUUUAGUUAUGGGUCACCUACUUGUGUGCACUUAGAGAUGUCUGCAAGCUUGCCAGAAUUAUGUCACAUGACCAGAUUUAACAGUGCUAUUUCUGGCUUAAUUCUAUCUGAAGUUCUUUUCAAAUUCUCCAGAUUUGCUGCAGCUGGGGCUUAUUUAUUGGAAGGAGGUUAGAUUGGAUUCCAGAUCUGUCUACGAUUGCCUGCCUCUGAUCAGGUUUGAAGUCAGGCCAAGCCCAAGACCUGACUUGCAAGGAAGACAAUGGCCUAUGCAAGAAGAAGGCAAGCCUCAAAGAGUCAGAGGCUGACUAAGAAGAUGGAUGGUUCCCUUAGAUCUGAGGAGAAGCAGCAAUAAGAAAGAACAGACCUCAGACCUCAGACCCCAGGGGCACAAAGGAGGAAAUUACACAAACAGAGCAUGGGCCGUGGGAUAGCCGCAUCAUCAGAAACUGACCGAGCAGUGACAUCAUGGAACUGGAAUCUCUUCACUUGGAAGAGCUGCAAGUGAGCCUUUAGGAGUGGCGUGGUCAUGGAGUCUCAUCACAGCAAUUAAAACCCUAACUAAGGCACUGGUAGUUCUGAUAUUGCAGAGAAGAUACUCAGGAUUUUCUCUAAGUGAAAAG
Arvicola amphibius (Eurasian water vole) is the source of this 1029-nucleotide long non-coding RNA. RefSeq lists it as uncharacterized. NCBI's taxonomy places the organism in Eukaryota, Metazoa, Chordata, Mammalia, Rodentia, Cricetidae. The record is from RefSeq and is a predicted model, not a curated record. The transcript is spliced from 4 exons.